Molecule: ribosomal RNA, 252 nt
Filed under: uncultured bacterium
Lineage: Bacteria
Description: partial 16S ribosomal RNA
Rfam family: Bacterial small subunit ribosomal RNA
Source: RNAcentral
GACAGAGGUGCCGAGCGUUAGGCGGAAUCACUGGGCUUAAAGCGUGUGUAGGCGGGUCCGUAAGUACCUUGUGAAAUCCCAUGGCUCAACCAUGGAACUGCUUGGUAUACUGCGGAUCUUGAGCCACCUAGGGGCAAGUGGAACAAACGGUGGAGCGGUGAAAUGCGUAGAUAUCGUUUGGAACGCCAAUGGUGAAAACACUUGCUGGGGGUGUGCUGACGCUGAGACAGGAAAGCCAGGGGAGCAAACGGG